This 391-nucleotide unclassified non-coding RNA is filed under the name soil metagenome. RNAcentral's name for it is "partial contains 5.8S ribosomal RNA, internal transcribed spacer 2, and large subunit ribosomal RNA". The stretch from base 1 to 122 matches the Rfam family "5.8S ribosomal RNA", at positions 35 to 154 of the family's 154-position model. The record is from RNAcentral.
GAUGAAGAACGCAGCGAAAUGCGAUACUUGGUGUGAAUUGCAGAAUCCCGUGAACCAUCGAGUCUUUGAACGCAAGUUGCGCCCGAAGCCAUUAGGCCGAGGGCACGCCUGCCUGGGCGUCACACGUCGUUGCCCCCCCGUCUACUCCUUCGGGAUUGCGGGGGGCGGAUGAUGGCCUCUCGUGCGCCUCGUCGCGCGGUUGGCCUAAAUGCCAAGUCCUCGGCGACGCACGCCACGACAAUCGGUGGUUGCGAAACCUCGGUUGCCUGUCGUGUGCGGUCGUCGCGCAUCGAGGGCUCGAAAAAAUUGCCGGGCUUCGGCUCGACUUUCAACGCGACCCCAGGUCAGGCGGGGUUACCCGCUGAAUUUAAGCAUAUCAAUAAGCGGAGGA